RNAcentral lists this ribosomal RNA (562 nucleotides) under Saccharomyces cerevisiae (brewer's yeast). RNAcentral describes it as "eukaryotic LSU rRNA". It matches the Rfam family "Eukaryotic large subunit ribosomal RNA", at positions 79 to 657 of the family's 3401-position model. Lineage: Eukaryota; Fungi; Ascomycota; Saccharomycetes; Saccharomycetales; Saccharomycetaceae. The record is from RNAcentral.
CUUAGUACGGCGAGUGAGCGGCAAAAGCUCAAAUUUGAAAUCUGGUACCUUCGGUGCCCGAGUUGUAAUUUGGAGAGGGCAACUUUGGGGCCGUUCCUUGUCUAUGUUCCUUGGAACAGGACGUCAUAGAGGGUGAGAAUCCCGUGUGGCGAGGAGUGCGGUUCUUUGUAAAGUGCCUUCGAAGAGUCGAGUUGUUUGGGAAUGCAGCUCUAAGUGGGUGGUAAAUUCCAUCUAAAGCUAAAUAUUGGCGAGAGACCGAUAGCGAACAAGUACAGUGAUGGAAAGAUGAAAAGAACUUUGAAAAGAGAGUGAAAAAGUACGUGAAAUUGUUGAAAGGGAAGGGCAUUUGAUCAGACAUGGUGUUUUGUGCCCUCUGCUCCUUGUGGGUAGGGGAAUCUCGCAUUUCACUGGGCCAGCAUCAGUUUUGGUGGCAGGAUAAAUCCAUAGGAAUGUAGCUUGCCUCGGUAAGUAUUAUAGCCUGUGGGAAUACUGCCAGCUGGGACUGAGGACUGCGACGUAAGUCAAGGAUGCUGGCAUAAUGGUUAUAUGCCGCCCGUCUUGA